This is a long non-coding RNA of Drosophila pseudoobscura, 452 nucleotides long. RefSeq lists it as uncharacterized. The transcript is spliced from 2 exons. The record is from RefSeq and is a predicted model, not a curated record. NCBI's taxonomy places the organism in Eukaryota, Metazoa, Arthropoda, Insecta, Diptera, Drosophilidae.
CAGAAAAUCGAGUAAUUCUAGCUUCGGUGCACCGAAAUUAAUCUACAUAUGUACAUACAUACAUACAUAUAUGUAUGUACCUUUGAAGAUUUAUUAAAAAAGUAAAUAUACAUAUAUGCAUAUGUAUAUAUAUACAAAAAGAGUUUGUUUCAAAGAUACCGAAGAUUGGAGACCUGGCUGCUUUGUAAAAAUGCAGCGUGAUACAUCCUCUUAUUUUUUCAAUUGCUUGUUUUGAAGCAAAACGACAGCAGAAGUUUCGUGAUCUAAGAAGAUCCAUACAUCUUAGAUGCAACACUUGUGUGUCUAACAUGUCUGACGAACUAUUCGUGAAGUCAUUUCGGAUCGAUACACAAACUUUCAAAACGAUUUUGGAGAAAGAUGAUAUAUGCUUUCCCCUGGAUAUAAAGAACAUAGCGGGAAUUUUAAAAUACAAAAUUAAUUUGCUGCACUUA